RNAcentral lists this ribosomal RNA (200 nucleotides) under Intestinimonas massiliensis (ex Afouda et al. 2020). RNAcentral's name for it is "partial 16S ribosomal RNA". It matches the Rfam family "Bacterial small subunit ribosomal RNA", at positions 1 to 182 of the family's 1533-position model. Lineage: Bacteria; Bacillati; Bacillota; Clostridia; Eubacteriales. The record is from RNAcentral.
UUUAUUGAGAGUUUGAUCCUGGCUCAGGAUGAACGCUGGCGGCGUGCUUAACACAUGCAAGUCGAACGGAACACCAAGGAAAGAGUUUUCGGACAAUGGAAUUGGUUGUUUAGUGGCGGACGGGUGAGUAACGCGUGAGUAACCUGCCUUGGAGUGGGGAAUAACACAGUGAAAACUGUGCUAAUACCGCAUGAUAUAUU